UACGUAGGCAGCAAGCGUUGUUCGGAAUUACUGGGCGUAAAGAGUGCGUAGGCGGUGCUCUAAGUUUGGUGUGAAAUCUCCCGGCUCAACUGGGAGGGUGCGCCGAAAACUGGAGUGCUCGAGUGUGGGAGAGGUAAGCGGAAUUCCUGGUGUAGCGGUGAAAUGCGUAGAUAUCAGGAGGAACACCUGUGGUGUAGACAGCUUACUGGACCACGACUGACGCUGAGGCACGAAAGCGUGGGUAGCAAACAGG
RNAcentral lists this ribosomal RNA (253 nucleotides) under uncultured bacterium. RNAcentral describes it as "partial 16S ribosomal RNA". It matches the Rfam family "Bacterial small subunit ribosomal RNA", at positions 524 to 776 of the family's 1533-position model. The record is from RNAcentral.